Molecule: ribosomal RNA, 250 nt
Filed under: uncultured bacterium
Lineage: Bacteria
Description: partial 16S ribosomal RNA
Rfam family: Bacterial small subunit ribosomal RNA
Source: RNAcentral
UACGAAUGGAGCAAGCGUUGUUCGGAAUCACUGGGCUUAAAGCGUAUGUAGGCGGAAACGAAAGUCAGAAGUGAAAUCCCAGGGCUCAACCCUGGAACUGCUUUUGAAACUUCGUUUCUAGAAUUCUGGAGAGGUUGGGAGAAUUCCGAGUGUAGAGGUGAAAUUCGCAGAUAUUCGGAGGAAUACCAGUGGCGUAGGCGCCCAACUGGACAGAUAUUGACGCUCAGAUACGAAAGCGUGGGGAGCAAAC